UGCUGGCACCUGCUGCUCGUGGGGGCUCCGAGCCGGCUCAGCCGCCGACACACGCCUUAAACCCCCGCUUGAAAGCCUCGCUUUAAGCCCCCCUUUUAAAGACACGCUUUAAAGCCAUGUGCUGCCGUGGUUUUAUUGCCACUCUCCCAGCCCGUUUAUACACUGCGUGGAGAGCGGGUCCCGCUGCUCGGUGCCCACUGAAGGCGCCCGGGGCCCACCAGUAACAGUAGGUGUGGUGAAAGGAGGAAGUUACCAGCCAAGAAAUGAAGACCAGUCAAAUGAAGCAUCUUCUUAAGAAGGUGGGGCACUUUCUAUUCUAGCAGGUUUCUUUAAUUUAAAUAUAGUUUGCCUUGGGGGAUGACUAAUCAAAGACAAAUGGAUUGGUAUCAUGCUGUAAGCAGCAAUUUGACUACAUGUGUUGAAACUAAGGAAAUUAUUGCCUAUUUGUCUUUUGCAAAGAAUGUCAGGAAGAAUGUAGAUGUCACUGCAAGUCUGAUAAGCAUCUGGGUUGGGCUGGCACUUGGUUUCACAAGGCUCUGCCUUUGGAGAUUUCAUGAUGAUCCCUAAUAUCUCCCAUGUCCUUCCGCUCUCCUGAGUGCCAUGGUCCGGAACCCCUUCUACAAAUUCUGUCACCACCUCAGGCAGGAGACAAAGCAUAGCACUGUGUUGUGACAAAGGACCUGCUGGAAUCUCAUAAAUUCAGCUCUAAUUCAAGUAAGGAAGGCUUUUUUUUUUUUUUUUUUGAUGGAUGGGAGGAAGGAGUUUGCCAAGGAAAGACAACUAUCAGGGGCAGGAAAGGAAGUCUCAAAUUGGAACUGGAAGCAAGAAGUUCUGCCAAUGGUGAGAUGGAAUUGGUCCAACAGUGGAACGUGAAGAACAGAAAGCUUUUACCUGUUGCAAAAGACAUGUGAGAAUCAGAGAUAAAAUAAGGUCCUUGAGGGCCUUGCCUUUCAUCUCAAUACAAAAAGAGGACCCUGGGGCCUUGCUAUACACUCAGACUGCACACACAGUGAGGGAGAAUAUACAGCAAAUGCAAAGUAAGUAAAUAACAGUACAAUGCAUUUAUUCCAUUGUUUGUUUGCAAUGUGCUGCUUCUGCUGUUGCCAAGAAUACAAAUACUGCAGACAGCUGGUUCUGUAAAAUGUGACUUUCCUAUGGCAGGUUAGAAGUCCUUCCUGUCUGUAUGCUGGAGUCAGGUGUAGCUGUGCAGAACCCCCUGCCAGGUGUGCCACAGAGCUGCUCACACCACAGUAAAGGGAGGGAAAGUUUAACUGAGAUUUCAUUUUCCUUCCUUCU
Long non-coding RNA from Vidua macroura (Pin-tailed whydah), 1296 nucleotides. RefSeq lists it as uncharacterized. The transcript is spliced from 5 exons. NCBI's taxonomy places the organism in Eukaryota, Metazoa, Chordata, Aves, Passeriformes, Viduidae. The record is from RefSeq and is a predicted model, not a curated record.